UUUUUGGCGAUGAUGUACGUGUAGCUCCCACCGAAAAUCUUGAAAUUGUAUCUGAUGGAAAAAUGCAAUGGCUGCUGCUUCUCUAGUGUAUCUUCAUCUGCUAUAUAUUCUUUCAAGGGUCGCUUUUGUUGUCAUCUUAAUCUUUGUUAAUUCGCGUCCUUUAUGUCACAUAUUGUAGCGGAAGGCCCUUGAACAAAAGAGCAUCAAAACCUGUUAGUACCCUUAUUAUUUUAGAAUCAGAAAGAUAGGUUUUAUCCAAGCCGAUUCUUCAUUGCCGCUGCUACUGAUAAUUUGAGUCUUCAAAAAGCUAUGUUGUUGGAGAACUCCCUGGCAUGCAUCUGAGAGCGGAACAGACGUUGCCGAUACUGCACAGUUCAUGAAGAUUUAUCGAAGUAGGGAAAAUGGUCAAUCAUAUAUAACCUCAGUUUGGACUACUUUAAUUGCGACAGACAGUGCAUGCACUAUGGCUGAUGAUUAAAAUUAGACCUGAAAUGGUACCAUGUCUAUCCUUAUUUUGGUUACAUCAUCAAUUGAUGUUAAUUGGUUACAAUUUCAGUGAUAUUGUUUUGCUAAUAUCCAGAUACUUUGCAAUGGACCUGGAACUUGCAUUCCCCUUUGUGUUAUUGCAUUCCCCUCUAUACACAUGGUUUGAAACCCUCUUGAAAUUUUAGA
Long non-coding RNA from Trifolium pratense (red clover), 672 nucleotides. RefSeq lists it as uncharacterized. Lineage: Eukaryota; Viridiplantae; Streptophyta; Magnoliopsida; Fabales; Fabaceae. The record is from RefSeq and is a predicted model, not a curated record. The transcript is spliced from 3 exons.